GCAACGCGAAAACCUUACCACCUUGACAUGUACGGAAGCCUUAGAGAUAGAGGCGUGCUCGAAAGAGAGCCGUAACACAGGGUGCCGCAUGGCUGUCGUCAGCUCGUGUCGUGAGAUGUGGGUUAAGUCCCGCAACGAGCGCAACCCUUGUCAUUAGUUGCUACAUUCAGUUGGGCACUCUAAUGAGACUGCCGGUGACAAGCCGGAGGAAGGUGGGGAUGACGUCAAGUCCUCAUGGCCCUUAUAGGUGGGGCUACACACGUCAUACAAUGGCUGGUACAAAGGGUUGCCAACCCGCGAGGGGGAGCUAAUCCCAUAAAGCCAGUCGUAGUCCGGAUCGUAGUCUGCAACUCGACUACGUGAAGUCGGAAUCGCUAGUAAUCGUGGAUCAGAAUGUCACGGUGAAUACGUUCCCGGGUCUU
RNAcentral lists this ribosomal RNA (422 nucleotides) under uncultured Rhodoferax sp. Its description in RNAcentral is "bacterial SSU rRNA". It matches the Rfam family "Bacterial small subunit ribosomal RNA", at positions 956 to 1382 of the family's 1533-position model. The record is from RNAcentral. Lineage: Bacteria; Pseudomonadati; Pseudomonadota; Betaproteobacteria; Burkholderiales; Comamonadaceae.